Molecule: unclassified non-coding RNA, 266 nt
Filed under: Hevea brasiliensis (rubber tree)
Lineage: Eukaryota; Viridiplantae; Streptophyta; Magnoliopsida; Malpighiales; Euphorbiaceae
Source: RNAcentral
AUGAUAAAGAGGGGAAGCUGCACCAGAUUGAGGAGGGAAAGAAGAAGGAAAUGAGCGACCAGUGUUGUCAGAAGGAUUUGAAGCUGAUCCCUUUAGAGAAGAAUUGGGUAAUCCUGACAUUGCAGAAAUGUCAAGAUGUCAUGCAGAAUUUCUUCCUGGUUGUACAGCAGCUUCCCUUAUCCUUUUCUCCGGAAAGGUUAUGGGAGAAAUUAUUGGAAGCCUUUCCAACGAGUAAAUACCUAUUAUCGGGGAAGAAGAGGUGCGAG